AACAUCUAAGUACCCCGAGGAAAAGAAAUCAACCGAGAUUCCGAAAGUAGCGGCGAGCGAAAUUGGACUAGCCCUUAAGCUUUACACGCGUUAGACGAACGGUCUGGAAAGUCCGACGAUACAGGGUGAUAGUCCCGUAGUUGACGACGUGUGUUCAGUGAAAUCGAGUAGGGCGGGACACGUGAUAUCCUGUCUGAAUAUGGGGGGACCAUCCUCCAAGGCUAAAUACUACUGACUGACCGAUAGUGAACCAGUACCGUGAGGGAAAGGCGAAAAGAACCCCUGUGAGGGGAGUGAAAUAGAACCUGAAACCGUGUACGUACAAGCAGUAGGAGCAGGCUUGUCCUGUGACUGCGUACCUUUUGUAUAAUGGGUCAGCGACUUAUAUUCAGUGGCAAGGUUAACCAUCUAGGGGAGCCGUAGGGAAACCGAGUCUUAACUGGGCGUUCAGUCUCUGGAUAUAGACCCGAAACCAGGUGAUCUAGCCAUGGGCAGGUUGAAGGUUGAGUAACAUCAACUGGAGGACCGAACCGACUAAUGUUGAAAAAUUAGCGGAUGACUUGUGGCUAGGGGUGAAAGGCCAAUCAAACCUGGAGAUAGCUGGUUCUCCCCGAAAGCUAUUUAGGUAGCGCCUCGGACGAAUACUACUGGGGGUAGAGCACUGUUAAGGCUAGGGGGUCAUCCCGACUUACCAACCCUUUGCAAACUCCGAAUACCAGUAAGUACUAUCCGGGAGACACACGGCGGGUGCUAACGUCCGUCGUGGAGAGGGAAACAACCCAGACCGCCAGCUAAGGUCCCAAAUUACUACUAAGUGGGAAACGAUGUGGGAAGGCUCAGACAGCCAGGAUGUUGGCUUAGAAGCAGCCAUCAUUUAAAGAAAGCGUAAUAGCUCACUGGUCGAGUCGGCCUGCGCGGAAGAUGUAACGGGGCUAAGUA
Molecule: ribosomal RNA, 939 nt
Filed under: Vibrio parahaemolyticus
Lineage: Bacteria; Pseudomonadati; Pseudomonadota; Gammaproteobacteria; Vibrionales; Vibrionaceae
Description: partial 23S ribosomal RNA
Rfam family: Bacterial large subunit ribosomal RNA
Source: RNAcentral